Molecule: ribosomal RNA, 479 nt
Filed under: uncultured bacterium
Lineage: Bacteria
Description: bacterial SSU rRNA
Rfam family: Bacterial small subunit ribosomal RNA
Source: RNAcentral
GAUCAUGGCUCAGGACGAACGCCGGCGGCGUGCCUAAUACAUGCAAGUCGAACGCUUCUUUCCUCCCGAGUGCUUGCACUCAAUUGGAAAGAGGAGUGGCGGACGGGUGAGUAACACGUGGGUAACCUACCCAUCAGAGGGGGAUAACACUUGGAAACAGGUGCUAAUACCGCAUAACAGUUUAUGCCGCAUGGCAUAAGAGUGAAAGGCGCUUUCGGGUGUCGCUGAUGGAUGGACCCGCGGUGCAUUAGCUAGUUGGUGAGGUAACGGCUCACCAAGGCCACGAUGCAUAGCCGACCUGAGAGGGUGAUCGGCCACACUGGGACUGAGACACGGCCCAGACUCCUACGGGAGGCAGCAGUAGGGAAUCUUCGGCAAUGGACGAAAGUCUGACCGAGCAACGCCGCGUGAGUGAAGAAGGUUUUCGGAUCGUAAAACUCUGUUGUUAGAGAAGAACAAGGACGUUAGUAACUGAACGU